GAUGCGACUGCCAAAAACGAGAUCCGAGCUGAACUGUGGUUCUGCCGAGCUAGCUGGUAGGGAGCAGGGUGGCCGUGCCGACCUGUAAGCAAAGAUGCGGCGGGGUUGGUCCCCCGAAGCAACUCCGACGAUCAAGUCAAUAAAAGCUUGGAAUCGAAGUGAGUAUGUGUUCAAAAGAAAUAGCGUACCUAGCAUCUUCGCAAUGCGUUGUAUUUAUAGAGUCGGAGGUAGUAGUUUCCUAGCAGGACAAGGAG
This 254-nucleotide long non-coding RNA is filed under the name Coffea arabica (coffee). Its description in RNAcentral is "long non-coding RNA (CARA_LNC004418)". Lineage: Eukaryota; Viridiplantae; Streptophyta; Magnoliopsida; Gentianales; Rubiaceae. The record is from RNAcentral.